Molecule: long non-coding RNA, 614 nt
Organism: Cynoglossus semilaevis (tongue sole)
Lineage: Eukaryota; Metazoa; Chordata; Actinopteri; Pleuronectiformes; Cynoglossidae
Exons: 3
Source: RefSeq, a predicted model, not a curated record
AAAUUACAAUAACGGGAAAAAUGUGCUGCUUACAAAGAACAAGAAAAAGAAAAGAAUUUGAUGUACCCAAUGUAUUUGUAAAUUUAUAUAUUUUAAAAUUUCAACUUUAGAGACAAUAUUUAUAUAUAUUUAUUGACCAAAUAAAUUUCUAUUUAAAUAAAAAACCUGGUAGUUUAUGUCUUUGUGACAGACUGCUGACCGAUCGGAGACACACCCUGCCUUUUAUCUAACGUUGGCUGUGAUUGACACCAACUCUUCCACAAGAUUAAAUAAUUAAAAUGUUCGACUGGAUGGAAAGACCUGAGCCCCACACCGGGGUGUUGAACCGUCUCCCCCUGCUGUCACAGGCCGAGAAGACACAUCAAACUGACACACAAUCAUAUACAGACAGGAUGCUGGUUCGGCUCACACUGUUGCUAGGCAACCCGUUAAAUUCCAGAGUGCUGUACGUUCUCUUGGUGCAGGCCUACAAAUCAUCAACUCCUCCAUUAGCGGAGCUGUCAACAGCCGCUAAUGCCAGAAGACUGGAGUGAAUUCCGGAACAUAAACAGCUACAAAGGCAUCACAGGCAGUCGGAGCCAGUGGAAUAAGAAUAAUAAUAAUAAUAAUAAAAA